Molecule: ribosomal RNA, 421 nt
Filed under: uncultured bacterium
Lineage: Bacteria
Description: partial 16S ribosomal RNA
Rfam family: Bacterial small subunit ribosomal RNA
Source: RNAcentral
AAUUUUGGACAAUGGGGGGAACCCUGAUCCAGCCAUCCCGCGUGUGCGAUGAAGGCCUNCGGGUUNUNAAGCACUUUUGGCAGGGNCGAAAAGGCUCUGGUUAAUACCCGGAGCUGCUGACGGUACCUAAGGAGGAAGCCCCGGCUAACUACGUGCCAGCAGCCGCGGUAAUACGUAGGGGGCAAGCGUUGUCCGGAAUUAUUGGGCGUAAAGGGUGCGUAGGCGGCCUUUUAAGUCAGAUGUGAAAGCCCACGGCUUAACCGUGGGACUGCAUUUGAAACUGGAGGGCUUGAGUAUCGGAGAGGGUAGUGGAAUUCCCAGUGUAGCGGUGGAAUGCGUAGAUAUUGGGAGGAACACCAGUGGCGAAGGCGACUACCUGGACGAAAACUGACGCUGAGGCACGAAAGCUAGGGGAGCAAAC